GAGCAUGUGGUUUAAUUCGAAGCAACGCGAAGAACCUUACCAAAUCUUGACAUCCUUUGACAACUCUAGAGAUAGAGCCUUCCCCUUCGGGGGACAAAGUGACAGGUGGUGCAUGGUUGUCGUCAGCUCGUGUCGUGAGAUGUUGGGUUAAGUCCCGCAACGAGCGCAACCCUUAAGCUUAGUUGCCAUCAUUAAGUUGGGCACUUUAAGUUGACUGCCGGUGACAAACCGGAGGAAGGUGGGGAUGACGUCAAAUCAUCAUGCCCCUUAUGAUUUGGGCUACACACGUGCUACAAUGGACAAUACAAAGGGCAGCGAAACCGCGAGGUCAAGCAAAUCCCAUAAAGUUGUUCUCAGUUCGGAUUGUAGUCUGCAACUCGACUACA
This 386-nucleotide ribosomal RNA is filed under the name Staphylococcus aureus. Its description in RNAcentral is "bacterial SSU rRNA". It matches the Rfam family "Bacterial small subunit ribosomal RNA", at positions 935 to 1320 of the family's 1533-position model. The record is from RNAcentral. Lineage: Bacteria; Bacillati; Bacillota; Bacilli; Caryophanales; Staphylococcaceae.